Molecule: non-coding RNA, 26 nt
Filed under: Homo sapiens (human)
Lineage: Eukaryota; Metazoa; Chordata; Mammalia; Primates; Hominidae
Source: RNAcentral
GAAUAAUGCUGUUAGGAACACGGGUA